CCGCUUGGAGACCCGCGCAGCCGCGCUUCCCUGUGCGCCGCCACUCCAGCCGCGCUUCCGUGGCCGCGUCCGCCGCCGCCAGCUCUGUGGUCGCGCCGUCAGCCAGCCCAUCUGCCGUCGUGAGGUACUGAGGUUUGUGGACGUGAUCUGCUAUUCUGCUGCCAUCUCCCAUCUGCCCUGUCUAACGCUGUACUUGUCCGAUUGUCCAUUCUCUGUUCUUGUUAGAUCCCAAUAUCCAUGGCAACGAGUGCAUCUACUGAUGCUAGCAGCAGCGAAGGUGCCGAAGGAAGUUUUCCAGUCGCCAAAAACCCUGCCAUCGCAAGACAAGUCUUGGCUGCUGUUCGUAUUGUUCCUCCAGAUGAGGAUGAGAAAAAAACCAUUGUGGAGGUAUGCUG
Molecule: unclassified non-coding RNA, 395 nt
Filed under: Zea mays
Lineage: Eukaryota; Viridiplantae; Streptophyta; Magnoliopsida; Poales; Poaceae
Description: misc RNA Zm00001eb046800
Source: RNAcentral